Molecule: long non-coding RNA, 632 nt
Filed under: Cricetulus griseus (Chinese hamster)
Lineage: Eukaryota; Metazoa; Chordata; Mammalia; Rodentia; Cricetidae
Description: lncRNA (ENSCGRG00000025925.1)
Source: RNAcentral
GAAGACCGGGACCACCUGGACCCCGGUACCGCGGGCACCGAGCUCGAUGGGGACACGCGAAGAACAGAGCUGCACCACGGGAGGACAGAUGCGGGUCCCCGCCGCGGAAAGAGAAGGGAAUGGGUGUACCCCGCAAAAGUCAAAGAAGGAAGCUCACCUACACACAAACCACCUUUCAAGCAACUUCCCAUUGAGGAUCUUCAUGAGGACACGAACCCUGGGACCACAAAUCUCACAGCCAAACACAUGGGGAACACUGGGACAAACAAGCUUGUAAGAAAAAGGAGCUGAUUGGGCAGAUGGCACAGUUAACAGACUGGGGGCAGUGGAUGUGCUUGGAGAAGAUGGCUUAGCGGUUAGAGUACCGGCUGUUCUUGUGGAGGAGCUGGGUUCAAUUCUCAAGACCUCACAAACAUCUUUAGCCCCAGUCCCAGGAGAGCUUGAUACCCUCUUGUAGCCUCCGUGGGCGGUGUACUCUUAGAUUUAAUAGUAUAAUUCAAGGCAAGUGUCAAUGUAUUGUUGUGGAGAGAGAGAUGAAAAGGGGUGCCAUCAAUAAAGCUUCACUUGUAGCCAAAGCGAUAAAAGAAAUUGUCCAAGACGAUUUGGAGGAGGAAGUUAGGGAUAGAUGUCAC